Long non-coding RNA from Tripterygium wilfordii, 657 nucleotides. RefSeq lists it as uncharacterized. The transcript is spliced from 4 exons. The record is from RefSeq and is a predicted model, not a curated record. Lineage: Eukaryota; Viridiplantae; Streptophyta; Magnoliopsida; Celastrales; Celastraceae.
UCGGCCUGAUUUUCUAGGGUUUAUUGUGAUCCAGAGAGAAGGAAAGCUGGGUUUUAGAUUUCAGAAUUGCAAAGUUCAGAUGAUUAACGUCGGUGGUAUUUCUUCGUCAGUUCUUCUCGAAGCGAAUAUUCUGUUCGAUUUUUUUGGUGAUUCGAGAGGUACUGACAGUGAAUCGGAGGACUUUGAUAAUCUGGAGGAUGAGCAGCUACUGGUCGACGGAGAAGAGGAGGAUGAAGGGCAAUCAGUUCAGUGAGGUUUUCAUUGAUUUUGUUGAUUAAGUGGCUCAUACUCUUGAUGGUGACCCUGAGCUUCUGGAUGACUCAGAGUUCUAUCAGCAGUUAUUGAAGGAAUUUUUUGAGGCAAUGGACCCAACAUCCUCAGAGGCAGCCAGUUGUGAGCUUAAGAAAAUACGAACAAAGAAGAGAAAGUCGUAUGAUCAAUACGCCUCUAAGAGUCGCAAAAUUAGGUACAAUGUUCAUGAAAAGAUUGUGAAUUUCAUGGCACCUCUGCCCAUCAACCUUCCAGCCAUGGCCCCUAUAUUAUUUGAGAACUUGUUCGCAUUGAGAAGUUUUUAGUAUCGAUUUUGUAGUAUUAAUCUUAUGUUUAAGUGUACGUUUGGUAAUUUAAUCAGAGGCGUUAAUGCUAAAACCUAGUAGA